GUGACCUCAAAUCAGGUAGGACUACCCGCUGAACUUAAGCAUAUCAAUAAGCGGAGGAAAAGAAACUAACAAGGAUUCCCCCUAGUAACUGCGAGUGAAGCGGGAAAAGCUCAAAUUUAAAAUCUGGCAGUCUUUGGCUGUCCGAGUUGUAAUCUAGAGAAGUGUUAUCCGCGCUGGACCGUGUACAAGUCUCCUGGAAUGGAGCGUCAUAGAGGGUGAGAAUCCCGUCUUUGACACGGACUACCAGGGCUUUGUGAUGCGCUCUCAAAGAGUCGAGUUGUUUGGGAAUGCAGCUCAAAAUGGGUGGUAAAUUCCAUCUAAAGCUAAAUAUUGGCGAGAGACCGAUAGCGAACAAGUACCGUGAGGGAAAGAUGAAAAGAACUUUGGAAAGAGAGUCAAACAGUACGUGAAAUUGCUGAAAGGGAAACGCUUGAAGUCAGUCGCGUCGUCCAGGGAUCAACCUUGCUUUUGCUUGGUGCACUUUCUGGUUGACGGGUCAGCAUCAAUUUUGACCAUUGGAAAAAGAUUAAGGGAAUGUGACAUCUUUGGAUGUGUUAUAGCCCUUGGUUGCAUACGGUGGUUGGGAUUGAGGAACUCAGCACGCCGCAAGGCCGGGUUUUUAACCACGUACGUGCUUAGGAUGCUGCAUA
This 650-nucleotide ribosomal RNA is filed under the name uncultured Dermocybe. Its description in RNAcentral is "eukaryotic LSU rRNA". It matches the Rfam family "Eukaryotic large subunit ribosomal RNA", at positions 1 to 632 of the family's 3401-position model. The record is from RNAcentral. Lineage: Eukaryota; Fungi; Basidiomycota; Agaricomycetes; Agaricales; Cortinariaceae.